RNAcentral lists this ribosomal RNA (695 nucleotides) under uncultured bacterium. Its description in RNAcentral is "bacterial SSU rRNA". It matches the Rfam family "Bacterial small subunit ribosomal RNA", at positions 79 to 771 of the family's 1533-position model. The record is from RNAcentral.
CUUGCUUCUCUUGAGAGCGGCGGACGGGUGAGUAAUGCCUAGGAAUCUGCCUGGUAGUGGGGGAUAACGUCCGGAAACGGACGCUAAUACCGCAUACGUCCUACGGGAGAAAGCAGGGGACCUUCGGGCCUUGCGCUAUCAGAUGAGCCUAGGUCGGAUUAGCUAGUUGGUGGGGUAAUGGCUCACCAAGGCGACGAUCCGUAACUGGUCUGAGAGGAUGAUCAGUCACACUGGAACUGAGACACGGUCCAGACUCCUACGGGAGGCAGCAGUGGGGAAUAUUGGACAAUGGGCGAAAGCCUGAUCCAGCCAUGCCGCGUGUGUGAAGAAGGUCUUCGGAUUGUAAAGCACUUUAAGUUGGGAGGAAGGGCAGUAAAUUAAUACUUUGCUGUUUUGACGUUACCGACAGAAUAAGCACCGGCUAACUCUGUGCCAGCAGCCGCGGUAAUACAGAGGGUGCAAGCGUUAAUCGGAAUUACUGGGCGUAAAGCGCGCGUAGGUGGUUCGUUAAGUUGGAUGUGAAAUCCCCGGGCUCAACCUGGGAACUGCAUUCAAAACUGACGAGCUAGAGUAUGGUAGAGGGUGGUGGAAUUUCCUGUGUAGCGGUGAAAUGCGUAGAUAUAGGAAGGAACACCAGUGGCGAAGCGACCACCUGGACUGAUACUGACACUGAGGUGCGAAAGCGUGGGGAGCAA